UGGGGAAUAUUGGACAAUGGGGGCAACCCUGAUCAGCAAUGCCGCGUGUGUGAAGAAGGCCUGCGGGUUGUAAAGCACUUUCAGUAGGGAAGAAAAGCCUGGGGCUAAUACCUCCGGGUCUUGACGUUACCUAAAGAAGAAGCACCGGCUAACUCCGUGCCAGCAGCCGCGGUAAUACGGAGGGUGCAAGCGUUAUCCGGAUUCACUGGGUUUAAAGGGUGCGUAGGUGGGCAGAUAAGUCAGUGGUGAAAUCUUCCGGCUUAACCGGGAAACUGCCGUUGAUACUAUUUGUCUUGAAUAUUGCGGAGGUAAGCGGAAUAUGUCAUGUAGCGGUGAAAUGCUUAGAUAUGACAUAGAACACCAAUUGCGAAGGCAGCUUACUACACAAUCAUUGACACUGAGGCACGAAAGCGUGGGUAGCGAAC
RNAcentral lists this ribosomal RNA (425 nucleotides) under uncultured bacterium. RNAcentral describes it as "bacterial SSU rRNA". It matches the Rfam family "Bacterial small subunit ribosomal RNA", at positions 355 to 773 of the family's 1533-position model. The record is from RNAcentral.